AUCUCUUCUCCUUAACCUAACAAACAACAGCCAAACAACUACAACACUAGUUUCAACCCGUUUCUCCGCGACCCAUUUCUGUCCAACCCAUUUUCAACAAUAUACGCAACACCAGCAUCAGUAAUCCCUCUUCUCUCCCUAAGCAAAGGAACAACAACGUCAAACCUGAUAUCCCUCUUCAACCCAAAAUCGCGAUGAACAUCUUCGACCCAAAAUUGAGAAAACCAGCUUUAACCCGACCCUAUCCUUCUUCACGCAUCUCACGCGUCACUAAGAGAAAGAAAGAAUCCAAAAUCUUCUAGAAACAGUCCAGGUAUCUCCCCCAACGUUCAACUCCACGAAUUUUGGGAUGGGGGGUACGAAUUAGGUACAUAUUUGGUGAUUUUUCAUUGCGUCUGGGGGAGAAUUCAUAUUUCGCCAAUUCUAUUGGUCCACCAUUUCCAAAUUGGUAUAGCUACUAAUGAAACGCCUAGCUAAAAAAGGGAUUUCGAAUUUUAAAUCCCAGAAGAUCCUUUCUUCCACCUUCUAUAUAUAGGAGGGCCUUUGUUUCUUGAAAAAGGGGGGAGGGGGGGUUUGGAGGGUCGAAGAAGGAGAGUAUAGAAAAAUUGGGGGCUUUUUUCUUUUUUUUGGAUGGGAAAUUCUAGGGUCAAAAUUAAGGUUUCAAAAAGAGGGAAAUCUUCUGAGGGAGGUUCUGAUUCAAAAACAGAGAAAGGAUUUUUUUUUUUGGAGUUUCUAAAUGUAGGUUGAAAAUAUUUAGUUGAAAAUCUGGGGGGUUUCAAAAUCUUUAAGAGGAAAAAGCAAAAAGAUGCUCUAUUGGUGGUCGACGUCGCGAGAUUUCGGUAGCGAUAAUUUUGCUGAUAGCUCGUCAUCCCGAUUAGCUGCUCCCUAAAAGGUAACACCCUAUUCCUUUAAGCUUAAGAUUGCUUCUGUUUCAUCUCUUUAUUCUAUAGUCUUAAAUAAUUUAAGACUAUCGUGUAUGCUGGGCUAUCUGUUGUAGAGGUCUUGUAAGACCGUGGGAUACGUUGGAUGAAGGAAUGUUUUGUCAAGUGAUUACGUUUGAUGCUAUACGCCGGGUCCAAUCGUUAAAAUUUGGUUUUCAGUCUCAUUUAGGCGUCUCAAUUUCAUAAUUGGUUACUUGAUUUUGCCAUCGCUAAUUAUCUUCCAAUAUGUUGCUUUGUAUUGUAUAUUACUUCUAAGUCCUACGUACUGAGUUCGAUAGAGAUUCCUAUUUCAAAUUUUUUGCUUCACUGGCUUGUUGAAUGUUGGUUUUGUUCGAGUUGUUUCCCUUAUAUUUAGCUGGCAAUAUCACUAGCAAGACCACUUUUACAAGUUUCUUUGGCAAUACAAAUGUCAAAAAGAAUGACCAAAAUGUGUCUAACAGUGAAAGGUUGCCAGGAGAUCCUAGAAUCUCCUCGACAACCCUUUCUUUUGAGCUUGUCGAAAUAGGGAGGAGAACAAAAAGAUAUUGUAUCUCAUUGGCUCCUUCCUUUAGUUCACUGAUUGUGUUUCCCUUUUUAGUAAAUUUUUCAAGAUUGAUUUGUUGCUUUGGGUUCAUUUCAAGCCAAUAGUCUUCUUAGUUUGAAGUCCAUGAAAGAAUAAAAUGAUUUUGUUGAAGAAUUUUAAACAUGAGAAUGGGUUUGGUCGUGUCAAUGUCCAAAAUUAUUUCUAUGUGUAUAUUCUCCCCUGAGGAUGGUUCGUACAUUUCUUUUAGUUAUUAAUUUCAAGGUGUAAAACUCUCAAAAUUUUGCAAGACCAUGAUUAGUCGAAUGCCUUCAAUUAGACUUUUAAGCUUGUUAUUGCGAAUAUUUUUUAGUUUGUUUUGUUACUUUUGCAACCUUCAGCAGUUUGAGAUUUUUUUUUAGGAUUAAAAGUGGGAAUUUUAGAAGCUUGUUUUGUUCUUGAGUUUUCUACGGUCAAUAGUGAUUUGCGAUUGAAAAUCGUAAGGUCUUUUCGAUUCGUGAUAUUGAAAGAGAUGUGUAAGUUUUUUCUUUAUGAGGUCAUGACGCUGAUCCUAUGGAUCCCCAAUAUCUUGUAGUUUACGUCCUUCCAUUACUUGACAAGAAGAGAAAAGGGUUGAUUCAAGAUAUUUAAUUUGAUGAAAUAGUUUAGAAUCAUUUCGUGACUACUUACCUACCAUUUGUUUGGUUUUAGACAGUCUUAUUCGAAUUAGUAUGUUGUUUUGCUAUGCAUCUUUACCUUUACCUUUUGCUUCAUCUAUCUUCUUUAGAUCAUCGCAUUGGCAGUCUUAUAAGUUGAUAAGUUUGUAGGAACCCUUUCAUGGCUAUUGAUUUAUUACCAUGACUACUUUUUUCUUCUGAUUUCGAUUCAAAUCGGCUCGAUUAGUUUCAGGUUCUGCUCUAUUUUAGUAAAAUACACCCGUAAAUUUCAUUGAUUUGAAUCGUAUACCAUUCGGUAGAACACUGGUGGUUCUUGGUUUAUUUUUUUUGGGGGAAUUGAGCUGGAUUUGUUCUAUAUUAAACUCUGUGGUCUGAAGUCAGUUUAGUGUCUUCUUUGUCAUUUGCAAAUUGAUGUUUUAUCGAUGCCAUCGUUUAAAAGAAUAUGGUAUGCUCAAACUUUGAAACUUUGAUUUUUUUUUCUUUUCCGAAUGCUAUCUUAAAUAAGAUAAUGAAUUCAAAGAUUCUUUCAUGUUAUUUUGGACUGUCUUGGGUGUCAGCUUUCUAAACUAUCAUUUGCAGUUAGAUUAUACCGUGUAAUUAGUCACAGUUGGUCAUAACGUGCAAUUAACCUUUUCCCCUUUAUUUUGAUGCAUGUGAACUUGUUGUGGCUGAUUUCGUCAUGAACUCUUGAUUACAUUUACCUCAUCGAAUCAACUCUUUGAGAACAUUCAAAUCUCGAUCUCAUGGUAUACGAAUGCAAGGAUUCGUAAGGAGACAGUGAAGAUAGGUUAAAGCCCCAUCUUUAAAGCGGCAAAGAAACUCAAAAAUCUCAUUGAUUAGUUUAUUUGUCUACUUAUCAAUUUUAUUUAUUUACUUAUUUAUUUAUUUAUUUAUUCAUUCGGGCCACAAAGUCAAAGUUGUAUUUAAUACAGGUGAAGUGAAAUUCGAGCUGAAAAGGGGCUUGAAAACAUAGAAUUAGGACAGGUUAUGGGUUGAAAACCCAACUAGUUUAGGACAGGGUCGAUGAUUUGGGCUUAAAGCCUAAAUCAUUACUUCUCUCCUUUUCCCUUUCCCUUUUCCUGUUGUUUACCUGCUUACGUGCUCCUUUACGAACCUAGUUAAGUCCCUAACUAAAGUCGCUAAAAAACUAAUUUUGCAAAAAAAAAAUUUCUAAUCAACUACUUUUCAACAAAUUAAUCUUUUCGAAGUUAAUGAAAAGACGAUUUUCAAAUAGUCCGGAUAACCGCAAGUUAGCAGAUGUUUUAGGUGCCUAACACCUUCCUAAAACGUUAAUAGGAACCGCUUACUCAGAAUCUCUUAACUUAAAUGAUUUUUAUAUUUUAGAUCGUUUAAAGUGUUUUAUAAAGGUUUCUUAAUUUCUUUUCAAAAUUAAGUGGUGACUCUUUCAAAAGUCAAAAUUUCCGCAAAACAUGUAUUUCUAUGCUGAGGAAGACAAGUAGUACCCAAUCAUCAUAUUCAUUGUAUGCUUAGCCUUGAUAUUCUCAAAGAUUGAUCUGAAGGUCUUUCUUUGAUUAUAAUUUGGCUUUUGGAUAAGGUUAGAAAGAAAGGAUGACAUGAGGCCCAAACAACACUAGAAGUACGGUAGGACUUACAACUUUUGGAAUCGACUCAAACAAUGAGGAUUAACUCAUGCCCCAGUUUCUUUUGACUGGGUUCUAAAUUGUUUAUUUGGUUGGACCGAGCCCUUAGUAGGGUAGCCUACGUAUCUCACCCUUGAGAGAGGAGAAUCAGGUCAUGCGUAGUUCUGGCAGUUUGUUCUUUUGAUUGAUUCUGAUUUUUUAUUUUUUUUUCUUUUGUUGACUCUUUUCUUUCUUUUUUUUGGGACAUAUUUUCUUCUCUCUCUCUUCUUUUUUUUUGAAAUUUUUCUGACUAUAUUGCUUUGCUCGACACUUUUCUUUUGAGCUUUGUUGACUCUAUCUUGAUUCCAAAAGAGGGGUAUGAAAGAAAAUAGGACUAAAACUCAAAUGGGGUAAACAAAGAAUGACACACUGUUUGGAUAGCAGAAUGAAAUGUCUUCGUCAUAUCAAUCCUUGAAAAUGCAAGUACACAUCAUGCAAUAUGAAAUGAAAGAUGAAGAUCAUUUGUGACACUUUAACAACACUAACUUCAACUGAGCACGUGUCAAUUCUUCUUCUACCCUUGUCAAACACACAACUCCACUUUCGUUGUACAUUCCUCAUGCUGAAGGACUCAUGACUUCGUGGAGCUGAUUUUUUUUCUGUUCCUUUUGACAUAAUCGCACAUUCACUACUUGACUAAUUGAGAUAUGUCUUUCAAUUGAUGACCAAGUUAUUCUCACGAUUCUCAAAAUAAUUGCCUUAAUUUUCAAAGAAGGCUUCAACUUGAUCACUAAAUGCCCCAGCACUCUAUCUAUUUUCUCAGAUGCUCUCUUUUUCUAACUUUAACCCUCUGAUUCAAUGUUCAUGCUUAAAUUGGAUUUUAAGAUCUGGCUGAAAAUUUCCCAAACAUGUCAUAUCACUAGAGUCAACAUAAAAUGAACUCUUCCUAAUAGGGAGAAAGGUUACUUCUCAGUUGCUCAGCUUAUCAUCUUAGCCACUGGUUUGCAUAUCAGCUUUUCAAUUUCU
This 4723-nucleotide long non-coding RNA is filed under the name Capsicum annuum. RNAcentral describes it as "long non-coding RNA (CANN_LNC008935)". Lineage: Eukaryota; Viridiplantae; Streptophyta; Magnoliopsida; Solanales; Solanaceae. The record is from RNAcentral.